This 468-nucleotide ribosomal RNA is filed under the name uncultured bacterium. Its description in RNAcentral is "partial 16S ribosomal RNA". It matches the Rfam family "Bacterial small subunit ribosomal RNA", at positions 28 to 507 of the family's 1533-position model. The record is from RNAcentral.
GACGAACGCUGGCGGCGUGCUUAACACAUGCAAGUCGAACGGGAAGGCCCUGCUUUUGUGGGGUGCUCGAGUGGCGACCGGGUGAGUAACACGUGAGUAACCUGCCCUUGACUUUGGGAUAACUUCAUGCAACUGGGGCUAUUACCGGCUAGGAGCUCCUGCUGCUUGGUGGGGGUUGGAAGGUUUCGGCGGUUGGGGAUGGACUCGCGUCUUAUCAGCUUGUUGGUGGGGUAGUGGAUUAGCAAGGCUUUGACGGGUAGCCGUCCUGGGAGGGUGACGGGCCACAUUGGGACUGAGAUACGGCCCAGACUCCUACGGGAGGCAGCGGUGGGGAAUGGUGCACAAGGGGCGGAAGCCUGAGGCAGCAACGCCGCGUGCGGGAGGACGGCCUUCGGGUUGUAAACCGCUUGCGCCUGUGACGAAGCGUGAGUGACGGUAACGGGUAAAGAAGCACCGGCUAAAUACGUU